CUACGUGCCAGCAGCCGCGGUAAUACGGAAGGUCCAGGCGUUAUCCGGAUUUAUUGGGUUUAAAGGGAGCGUAGGCUGGAGAUUAAGUGUGUUGUGAAAUGUAGACGCUCAACGUYUGAAUUGCAGCGCAUACUGGUUUCCUUGAGUACGCACAACGUUGGCGGAAUUCGUCGUGUAGCGGUGAAAUGCUUAGAUAUGACGAAGAACUCCGAUUGCGAAGGCAGCUGACGGGAGCGCAACUGACGCUUAAGCUCGAAGGUGCGGGUAUCAAACAGGAUUAGAUACCCUGGUAGUCCGCACAGUAAACGAUGGAUGCCCGCUGUUGGUACCUGGUAUCAGCGGCUAAGCGAAAGCGUUAAGCAUCCCACCUGGGGAGUACGCCGGCAACGGUGAAACUCAAAGGAAUUGACGGGGGCCCGCACAAGCGGAGGAACAUGUGGUUUAAUUCGAUGAUACGCGAGGAACCUUACCCGGGAU
RNAcentral lists this ribosomal RNA (477 nucleotides) under uncultured bacterium. RNAcentral describes it as "bacterial SSU rRNA". It matches the Rfam family "Bacterial small subunit ribosomal RNA", at positions 501 to 981 of the family's 1533-position model. The record is from RNAcentral.